This 476-nucleotide ribosomal RNA is filed under the name uncultured bacterium. RNAcentral's name for it is "partial 16S ribosomal RNA". It matches the Rfam family "Bacterial small subunit ribosomal RNA", at positions 28 to 523 of the family's 1533-position model. The record is from RNAcentral.
GACGAACGCUGGCGGCGUGCCUAACACAUGCAAGUCGAGCGAUGAAACCCUUCGGGGUGGAUUAGCGGCGGACGGGUGAGUAACACGUGGGUAACCUACCUCAAAGAGGGGGAUAGCCUCCCGAAAGGGAGAUUAAUACCGCAUAACAUUAUUUCUUCGCAUGAAGAGAUAAUCAAAGGAGUAAUCCGCUUUGAGAUGGACCCGCGGCGCAUUAGCUAGUUGGUGAGGUAAUGGUUCACCAAGGCGACGAUGCGUACCCGACCUGAGAGGGUGAUCGGCCACAUUGGAACUGAGAUACGGUCCAGACUCCUACGGGAGGCAGCAGUGGGGAAUAUUGCGCAAUGGGGGAAACCCUGACGCAGCAACGCCGCGUGGGUGAAGAAGGCCUUCGGGUUGUAAAGCUCUGUCUUCUGGGACGAUAAUGACGGUACCAGAGGAGGAAGCCACGGCUAACUACGUGCCAGCCGCCGCAGUAA